This 198-nucleotide long non-coding RNA is filed under the name Fukomys damarensis (Damara mole-rat). Its description in RNAcentral is "lncRNA (ENSFDAG00000027477.1)". Lineage: Eukaryota; Metazoa; Chordata; Mammalia; Rodentia; Bathyergidae. The record is from RNAcentral.
GGCUCUCCCGAUGGACAUGGGUGUGUCUGGAGGAUGGAGGGUCCCCGGAGGGCAUUGUCCAGCUACAUGUUUCCGACAGGAUCCAGUGAAUUUCUUAGAAUUUGAAGUCUUUUGCCUCCUUCUUUGGAUGCAUAUAUACUUUUGCUUCUACCCUCAAAGACCCAGAUCCUCAAGAGCCAGACAAGAUGAUGUGAGCAC